GACGAACGCUGGCGGCGUGCUUAACACAUGCAAGUCGAACGGAAAGGCCCUGCUUUUGUGGGGUGCUCGAGUGGCGAACGGGUGAGUAACACGUGAGUAACCUGCCCUUGACUUUGGGAUAACUUCCGGAAACUGGGGCUAAUACCGGAUAGGAGCUCCUGCUGCAUGGUGGGGGUUGGAAUGUUUCGGCGGUUGGGGAUGGACUCGCGGGUUAUCUGCUUGUUGGUGGGGUAGUGGCUUACCAAGGCUUUGACGGGUAGCCGGCCUGAGAGGGUGACCGGCCACAUUGGGACUGAGAUACGGCCCAGAGUCCUACGGGAGGCAGCAGUGGGGAAUAUUGCACAAUGGGCGGGAGCAUGAUGCAGAAACGCCGCGUGCGGGAUGACGGCCUUCGGGUUGUAAACCGAUUUCGCCUGUGACGAAGCGUGAGUGACGGUAAUGGGUAAAGAAGCACCGGCUAACUACGUG
RNAcentral lists this ribosomal RNA (468 nucleotides) under uncultured bacterium. RNAcentral describes it as "partial 16S ribosomal RNA". It matches the Rfam family "Bacterial small subunit ribosomal RNA", at positions 28 to 507 of the family's 1533-position model. The record is from RNAcentral.